GACUGACUAGCUAAGUGGAUAACGCGAUGGCAUUUGAAGCAGACGGUACUGGGUUCGAGUCCCAGAGUGAAC
RNAcentral lists this transfer RNA (72 nucleotides) under Schistosoma mansoni. Lineage: Eukaryota; Metazoa; Platyhelminthes; Trematoda; Strigeidida; Schistosomatidae. The record is from RNAcentral.